GUGGGAGGAUUGCUUGAGCCUGGGAGAUGGAGGCUGCAGUGAGCCGUGUUCAUGCCACUGCACUCCAGCCUGGGCAACAGAGUGAGCCCCUGUCUC
Molecule: microRNA precursor, 96 nt
Filed under: Mandrillus leucophaeus (drill)
Lineage: Eukaryota; Metazoa; Chordata; Mammalia; Primates; Cercopithecidae
Description: miRNA (ENSMLEG00000015445.1)
Source: RNAcentral